CAGCUUUCGAUGCUGGAGCAGAACUUGGAGUAGAGUUUUCUGUGGAUGUACAGACUGUGAAAUCAUCAGUGUCAACAAGCAUAGGUCCAUUUGUUGCCGGAAAAGUCGAAGCUUCUUUGGGUGUAUCUAUCGGUGUUGCAUCUGCUGGAAUAACCCUCACUGGAUGGCUGAUGAAAACACGUUUUCCUUACGUACUGGAGAUGAACUACGCAAAAGUACCAAUAGUUGCCACGAAAAAACUUAGUGUCGAGCUCACACCACUUGAACUACGACUAAGAGCAUGGGU
Molecule: long non-coding RNA, 286 nt
Organism: Haliotis rubra (blacklip abalone)
Lineage: Eukaryota; Metazoa; Mollusca; Gastropoda; Lepetellida; Haliotidae
Exons: 3
Source: RefSeq, a predicted model, not a curated record